This 2660-nucleotide unclassified non-coding RNA is filed under the name Leishmania donovani. RNAcentral's name for it is "gene:LdHU3.21.1840(CDS-product:RF-1_domain_contai ning_protein_putative)". Lineage: Eukaryota; Euglenozoa; Kinetoplastea; Trypanosomatida; Trypanosomatidae. The record is from RNAcentral.
CUGCGUAGUCUCCUACAGCGAAGCCCUGCACCGUGGCGGUCAAUUUCGUUGCCGCGGUGGUCUCUGUUUUGCCCCUGUCCUCGAGCUGGAUACGCGCUGCGUGCCGUGCUGCAUGGGCACACACACACACACACACACAGACAGACACACCUACUCAAGUGCGGAAGUGUUUCCAGCCCACCCCCAACCCACCCAUCUCUUCAUCUCCUUUCCCUGUAUCUCGGUGCGUGUGCGCCGGUGUGUGUCGCCCUUCGUAAUCAUCGUAGCGCGUAUCUGCUACUCGCUCACACGAUGCUGCGCCGCAAUGCAUCAGUGCCGGAGCUGCGGCUUUGUCUGCUCGCCGCGGCGUCACCACACUCGUCGAAAUGCGCCGCCGUCUCCGUCGCCCUCCUCGCCACUCGCCGCGCCUUCUUUGGCAAUUUCGGCAAGCAGUGGGGCAGCGCGGGUGGCAUCGGUGCCUCCUCCGCGACGACGACUGGUUGCAGCGCAAGCAGCACAAGCAGCAGCUCCAGUCAGAACUCGAGCGCUGGCGUGCCGCCCGGCUUCUCUUCCGGGUUUGACCUGCAGAAGCUUCAGACCAUGCAGCAGCUCUUCAACAGCCAACCGAAAGAGAAGCAAGAGCAGAUGAUGAGGCAGGCGAUGGAGAUGCAGAAGAUAAUGAGCAAGAUUCCCGGCUUCGGCAAGCUGGCGCAGAACAACACCAAGGUGCUAGAGCAGCUCAUGAAGAUGCAGCAGCAGGCACCACCGCCGCCCUCUCCCUCCACCACCACGACGCCGGCGAAUGCUGCACCCGCCAGCGCGUCCUCCACGGGCGCCGCCGCGUCUGCGGCGUCGUGUCCGCGACGGGACCUCUUUAGUAGCGCAGCCGCGUUGAGCUCCAAGCGCUUGAAUGGAAGCGGUAGCAGUGGUGGCCCCUCGUUGGACGAGCUGAGGAAGGUGAACCUCGGCCCAGAGAUCGAGGCCCUCUUUCAAGAGCUCCGCACCAUCCGCAGCCGCAAGAACGAGUACCGUGACAAGUACUACCAAGUCCAGUCCACGCUGGAGGCACUGCAGCGGGAACACAAGGACCUGACCACACGUGAGGCGAGCCUACGGAGCAAGCUAGCCAAGGUGGAGCAGGAGGUAAUGCUGCUCACCUCCGAGAACAUGGAUCUGCGAGACAGCAGCAAGAGCGUAAGGCAGUUGACACAGUCCAACAGCCAGCUCAAGGCCGAGGUGGAGCAGCUGAAGACGGCUGCGCAGUUAAGCACCGCUCCAGGCACGACCACGUACGUUGCUCUGCAGCAGCUGCUCCAAGAGCGCGAGGAUGCACUGCGCUCCCUGCAGCGAAAGCUGGACCGCAUGCGUCGCCGCGAUCCGCUGCUGCAGUUCUCGCUUGCCUGCAGCAACGUUAGCCGACUUUGUGCUAGCGCCAAGGGCGAGGACGUGGGUAGCGCCGGCGCCGCCGCGGUAGCAACUGAGGCAAGCCAGGAGGCAGCCGAGAAAGCCUUUGCGGAGCUGCAGGCCAAGUAUCAGGACCGCCAGCAGGCGGCCUGGGAGGCGGCGGCGCACGAUCACGCUGCGGCCGCUGCCGCAUACGUGGCGGUGGUGCGACGCUACGUAAUGAGCAAUGUGCCUCACUCGAACUACGACGCAGUCGUCACAUUCACAGGCGAUGCGGAGGCGCUGCGCACGUAUUUUUCUAGCGUUGGCUUCGAGGUGGAGAUGGUCGCGGGAGAGCGCGGUCGGGCGCACGUGACCGCGGCAUCAGACGCCUUGCCCUUUUCCAGCGCACCGGGACCGUUCGGCUACGCGUUUGCGGUGAGCCUGGCCAGAGGGACGGCGCGAGCGGAAAGCGGUGGCACCGGCGCUGUGACUCCCGCCUCUGCAUUCACGGUGACGAGCGCGCACCCGUUCGUCUCUGCAGCCCUGGUGCGGAACGCGAAGCGGUGCAGCGUCGCUUACGAGACGGCGCGCGCCAGCGGCCCAGGUGGGCAAGCCACGAACGUCACAGAAACGCAGGUGUACGCGAAGCUGGCGAUUGACGGUGCCCCGGCGUACACGGCGGAGGCACAAGAUUCGCGCAGCGCGCUCAGCAACAAGGAGGCCGCCCUUGACAAGCUUCAGCAGCAGCGCCGCCUGCAGUUCAACGAUACACUGGCAAAGCAGGAGAAGGCUGAGCUCGUGCAGGCGCAGUUAGUGACCAAGAUGCAGGGCCAGGGCGGCUUUGCCUUGGAGGAGGACGUACAUGUCCUGGUGCAGGAGGCAGCCACAGCGAAGCUGGUGGCCGCAGGGGAUGCCGCGCUCGUGCAGAUGCUGAAGCAGCUCGGUGCCUUGGCCGCCGCGGCGUAGAGGACGCCGUCGGCAAUGCGGAAGGAGAAACAGAGGAGAGCGGAGAGUUUGCCCGCUCGCCAGCGUCGACCCCACCCUCGGACACCUCCUCUCUAAGCCUGCGUGCUGCGUGUGUGUGUGUGUGUGUGUGUGUGUGUGUGUGUCUGUUAACGAGUUUGUGUCCGUCUUUUUCGGUAAGGAAGAUAAAUCAACUGCGCGGAGAGAAGGAGAGAGGCGGGUCGUGUGCGCCCGUUCGCUGCCCACCCAUCCUACCAACGAACGAAUCCUCCACCCACACCCACCCUCUACCCACCCCUCUUUCUCUGCUGUGUCGUGCGCAUCACGCGCAG